Molecule: ribosomal RNA, 274 nt
Filed under: uncultured bacterium
Lineage: Bacteria
Description: partial 16S ribosomal RNA
Rfam family: Bacterial small subunit ribosomal RNA
Source: RNAcentral
AUACGGAGGGGGCUAGCGUUGUUCGGAAUUACUGGGCGUAAAGCGCGCGUAGGCGGCUUAUCAAGUUAGGCGUGAAAGGCCUGGGCUCAACCCGGGAACUGCGCUUAAUACUGGUAGACUUGAGUCCGGGAGAGGGUGGCGGAAUUCCCAGUGUAGAGGUGAAAUUCGUAGAUAUUGGGAAGAACACCAGUGGCGAAGGCGGCCACCUGGCCCGGUACUGACGCUGAGGUGCGAAAGCGUGGGGAGCAAACAGGAUUAGAUACCCCGGUAGUCC